This 321-nucleotide unclassified non-coding RNA is filed under the name Hevea brasiliensis (rubber tree). Lineage: Eukaryota; Viridiplantae; Streptophyta; Magnoliopsida; Malpighiales; Euphorbiaceae. The record is from RNAcentral.
CCAAUUCAUCAUCACCGUCUCUUUUGCCUCACCUCCAGAGGUUUUCGUCUUCUACCAUAGACGGCUCAACAAAUGUACCUUUCUUCAUUGGUGCUGCUGGUCCACCGCCACCACCUAUGGAGAAUCAUCACCAUCAUCAGUUCCAUCCACCUGGGUUGCAGCUCUGCUACGGGGAUGGAAACAGGCAUUCUGACCAGAGAGGGAAAGGGAAGAACUGAUCACUGCUCGGAAGCAUGCCAAUCUUCCUGGAAAGCGAAGAUGGAGAAAUAUAUAGCAGCAAGCCACAAGUGAAUGCAUAUGCCUUCCUAGCUAGCAGUGGGC